This 485-nucleotide long non-coding RNA is filed under the name Capra hircus (goat). Its description in RNAcentral is "lncRNA (ENSCHIG00000000764.1)". The record is from RNAcentral. Lineage: Eukaryota; Metazoa; Chordata; Mammalia; Artiodactyla; Bovidae.
GGUGGGGACCCGCUUAAGCAUUGUUGUUCCUUACAGGCUGGGAGUUGCCAGCCAGAAACUGAGUUUCUGGUGUGCCUUUGAAUGCCAGGAGGCAGGGUGCUCUGAAAAAGCAGCAGCCGGCAAGGAAACCGCUGGAGGUGGGGAGCUCCGGGCUGGUGUGGUUCUCGGCGUCUGACAAUGUAACUGAUGGCCCCCUGUCACUUCCUGUCGUACAGCCCAAGUAGUGGGGAGGAGUUCCUUGAGGGAAAGCAUGCUCUGCUCUGCUCAGAGAAUCCCGUCCGAAGGGCGCCGCCGCAGUUAGGGGCGGGGGACUCUGUGUGGAUGAGGUCGGAGCGCCCCAUGGUGUGGUGCUGCUUCUUUGUUCGCACUCAGACCCCACCCACCCCUGCCAUAAACCCCCAGUGUUCUCACUACCUGCCAUGGGAGCUGGCAUGGGAGCACUGGCCUGGGAGUCAGGAGUUUGGGGUCAAGUUCGAGGCUUUGCA